GACGAACGCUGGCGGCGUGCCUAAUACAUGCAAGUAGAACGCUGAAGGAGGAGCUUGCUCUUCUGGAUGAGUUGCGAACGGGUGAGUAACGCGUAGGUAACCUGCCUGGUAGCGGGGGAUAACUAUUGGAAACGAUAGCUAAUACCGCAUAACAGUAGAUGUUGCAUGACAUUUACUUAAAAGGUGCAAUUGCAUCACUACCAGAUGGACCUGCGUUGUAUUAGCUAGUUGGUGGGGUAACGGCUCACCAAGGCGACGAUACAUAGCCGACCUGAGAGGGUGAUCGGCCACACUGGGACUGGGACACGGCCCAGACUCCUACGGGAGGCAGCAGUAGGGAAUCUUCGGCAAUGGACGGAAGUCUGACCGAGCAACGCCGCGUGAGUGAAGAAGGUUUUCGGAUCGUAAAGCUCGGUUGUGAGAGAAGAACGAGUGUGAGAGUGGAAAGUUCACACUGUGACGGUAUCUUACCAGAAAGGAACGGCUAACUACGUG
RNAcentral lists this ribosomal RNA (495 nucleotides) under uncultured bacterium. RNAcentral describes it as "partial 16S ribosomal RNA". It matches the Rfam family "Bacterial small subunit ribosomal RNA", at positions 28 to 507 of the family's 1533-position model. The record is from RNAcentral.